GAUGAACGCUGGCGGCGUGCCUAACACAUGCAAGUCGAGCGAACGGACGAGAAGCUUGCUCCUCUGAUGUUAGCGGCGGACGGGUGAGUAACACGUGGAUAACCUACCUAUAAGACUGGGAUAACUUCGCGAAACCGUAGCUACUACCGGAUAAUAUUUUGAACCGCAUUGUUCAAAAGUUAAAGACGCUCUUGCUGUCACUUAUAGAUGGCUCCGCGCUGCAUUAGCUAGUUGGUAAGGUAACGGCUUACCAAGGCAACGAUGCAUAGCCGACCUGAGCGGGUGGUCGGACACACUGGAAGUGAGAAACGGUCCAGACACCUACGGGAGGCAGCAGUAGGGAAUCUUCCGCGAUGGGGGAAAGCCUGACGGAGCAACGCGGCGGGAGUGAUGAAGGUCUUCGGAUGGUAGAACUCUGUAGUUAGGAGAGAACAAAUGCGUAAGUAACCGUGCACAUCUUGACGGUACCUAAUGAAAAAGCCCCGGCUAACUACGUG
This 497-nucleotide ribosomal RNA is filed under the name uncultured bacterium. RNAcentral's name for it is "partial 16S ribosomal RNA". It matches the Rfam family "Bacterial small subunit ribosomal RNA", at positions 28 to 507 of the family's 1533-position model. The record is from RNAcentral.